Long non-coding RNA from Spinacia oleracea (spinach), 750 nucleotides. RefSeq lists it as uncharacterized. Lineage: Eukaryota; Viridiplantae; Streptophyta; Magnoliopsida; Caryophyllales; Amaranthaceae. The transcript has 5 exons. The record is from RefSeq and is a predicted model, not a curated record.
CAAUUUAAAUUACCAAAAUACCCUCAACCGUUUUACUUUCGAUCCCUUCAUGUGAAACACGGGAAUCGCAAAAUCCCUUACCUCCGCCGCUUCACUCACUCUCAAACCCUUCCGAUUCUCAGUUCUUUCCAAUUCCAUUUUUGCGCUCUUUCUCUCUCCUAGGCUCUCCCUCUCUUCGAAAUCGCCGCCGCCGUCUUGCUUCAUCGCAUCAUAAUGUUUCAUCGCCGCCGCCGUCGUUGAGUGAGUCCUGAAUUGAAACCUAACAUCAGAACUCGAAAGGUGAAUCUCUAGGCUUUGUUUGAGAAAUUUUAUUUGUGCGAUUGAAGAAGAGAAUGGGUCAGAUCCCAUACUCAGGCACAUAGUUCUUCCAAAGAAUCUCCUUAACUCUGAGACCCAACUCAAGUUGAACAAGCAGUGUUGCGGUUGCCACCAUUUCCCUUCAAAUCAAAGGAUCAACUCAAUUAAAUAUUUUAGGAUGAAUUUUAUUCAUGUAAGAGUUUUUCUGAGUUUUUCUUUUCUUUUUAUUGUAAUUUGCAUUUCUGAAAUAAUAAUACAAUGAUUCUCAUAUGGUAUGAAAUGGAAAUUGUAAUUCCCUCGAACUCCUGUGCCCACAGAGAUCAAUAUGAGUUGUUAGCUUCAAAAUUUUGAAGGCAUCUUUGUUGUUGAAGACUGUAAGUUCAUUUUACCGGGAAUUUUUUCCUUUCUCUGUGUUGGGGUUUUGCGGUGGCAAAUUACUCUUUCUGAAUUGAG